AGAGCGAACGCUGGCGGCAGGCCUAACACAUGCAAGUCGAGCGCCCGUAGCAAUACGGGAGCGGCAGACGGGAUAGUAACACGUGGGAACGCGCCCUUCGGUUCGGAAUAACUCAGGGAAACUUGAGCUAAUACCGAAUACGCCCUUACGGGGAAAGAUUUAUUGCCGAAGGAACGGCCCGCGUCCGAUUAGCUAGUUGGUGAGGUAAUGGCUCACCAAGGCUACGAUCGGUAGCUGGUCUGAGAGGAUGACCAGCAUCACUGGGACUGAGACACGGCCCAGACUCCUACGGGAGGCAGCAGUGGGGAUAUUGGACAAUGGGCGCAAGCCUGAUCCAGCCAUGCCGCGUGGAUGAUGAAGGCCUUAGGAUUGUAAAGUCCUUUUAACGGGGAAGAUAAUGACGGUACCCGUAGAAUAAGCCCGGCUAACUUCGCGCCAGCAGCCGC
RNAcentral lists this ribosomal RNA (446 nucleotides) under uncultured bacterium. Its description in RNAcentral is "SSU rRNA". It matches the Rfam family "Bacterial small subunit ribosomal RNA", at positions 26 to 518 of the family's 1533-position model. The record is from RNAcentral.